ACAAAACUCGUUAAACUAGUUUUCUGUUCCGUUAAAGUUUUGUUUUUAUCAACCCCAGUAACAUCAAUGUUGAGGUCACUAGUUAAGUGGUUGUAAAGCGCAUCGAACUCGGUUUGCGUUUGGAUUCCGUUGAUGAUGUUCUUUAAGUUAUCCAUCGAACCAAAGCUAAACA
Molecule: small RNA, 172 nt
Filed under: Mycoplasmoides pneumoniae M129
Lineage: Bacteria; Bacillati; Mycoplasmatota; Mycoplasmoidales; Mycoplasmoidaceae
Description: Mycoplasma pneumoniae M129 ncRNA
Source: RNAcentral